AGAAAUAGAUAAAAGGGUGAGUCAAAAAUCUGCAUCAAAGUAAAGCAGCGUUCAACGAGAAGAAAUAGUGCAGUGUCUAGUUACCUGGAGACUACAACCCGAUGACAGGAGAGCAUCAAGUUCAGUGCAGGUCCAAGGAGACAAAAAAGAAGCACGUUCACAGAGAUGAAAGAGGAGAAGAGAUUUCGGCAAGGGAAGGGGCUCACUUGUGUUUUCGGCCUUCUUUCGAUGCUUAUACUACGGUGCGUCCUGCGUAUGGAUGGCGGAAGCAAGGUCCAAACUAGAGGGUGCACUGCACUUGUUUUUUAUGCCUGUAUCGCGGUGCGUCCUGCAUAUGGGUGGCAAAAAAGAGUGUCAAGUGAAGGCCUGGGGCUGCUAGUUCACACCAACUACGAGUCUGCAAAGUUUUUGGGCUCACGAAGUGAAGAACUGCUUUGGAAGAAUCUUGGUGCAUCACUAAAGCCAAAGUGUUACGCAGCCUGCAUCAAAGUCAUCAUCAAAAUGCUGCCCCUGAAAGUAAAGUGACCAUGAUGGUACUCUCCUGCUGGUGAAAGACUGCUGCGUCAACAAAUGACUGGGCUCUUCUGACAAAGGACCGCUGCAUCAGGGUAUGAAAACCACACAGGCAAUGACAACGACCAGAGGCAACAAGCUUUGAACUGUAGCUCUUGUGUCAUCGAUAUUCAUGGCAACAAACUUUGGCAACAAAAUCAUCUCUUCUACCAAUGAUUAUGAGGCUUGCAAAUGAAAAAACAACUUUUGCAUUAUCAUCGUGAAAAGAGGCAGACGAAGCUGCAUGCUACAUGGCUAUAUGGUGAUUUCUCUCUUAAUACUGAAGCCCCAUAGGCAACAGCUCCACUUUUUCCACAUUGAAGGAGAUAUUGAUCACUUGGUCUGCAAAUAAUAAAGUCUCAGCCAAGCCAAAAUUCAAGACUGUCGUUGAUGCUCAGUUCGCUGCCAAACAAGAUUGUAACAUGCAAAUUAAUUGGACAUGCACAAGCUUUUCUCCCACCACCUAAAUCAUGGGACAAGCGUUGUAACGUCCCGUAUCUUACUUUACCUGUUUACUAGUCAUUUGGACGGUAAACGACAAUUACUUUCACUUUUACCGUCGUUUCGAUACUUUUAGUGGCCCUAAA
Long non-coding RNA from Rosa chinensis, 1139 nucleotides. RefSeq lists it as uncharacterized. NCBI's taxonomy places the organism in Eukaryota, Viridiplantae, Streptophyta, Magnoliopsida, Rosales, Rosaceae. The record is from RefSeq and is a predicted model, not a curated record. The transcript is spliced from 2 exons.